Molecule: non-coding RNA, 105 nt
Organism: Acanthosepion pharaonis
Lineage: Eukaryota; Metazoa; Mollusca; Cephalopoda; Sepiida; Sepiidae
Source: the annotation of a GenBank genome assembly
CACCGAACUGAAACAUCGGUUCCCGUACGAUCACCGAAGUUAAGCAAUGUCGAGCCUGGUCAGCACCUAGAUAGGUGACCGCUUGGGAAGUCCAGAUGCUGUAAG